AUUGAACGCUGGCGGAAUGCUUUACACAUGCAAGUCGAACGGCAGCACGGACUUCGGUCUGGUGGCGAGUGGCGAACGGGUGAGUAAUGUAUCGGAACGUGCCCAGUCGUGGGGGAUAACGUAGUGAAAAUUACGCUAAUACCGCAUACGAUCUAUGGAUGAAAGCGGGGGAUCGCAAGACCUCGCGCGAUUGGAGCGGCCGAUAUCAGAUUAGGUAGUUGGUGGGGUAAAGGCCCACCAAGCCAACGAUCUGUAGCUGGUCUGAGAGGACGACCAGCCACACUGGAACUGAGACACGGUCCAGACGCCUACGGGAGGCAGCAGUGGGGAAUUUUGGACAAUGGGCGAAAGCCUGAUUCAGCCAUUCCGCGUGCAGGAUGAAGGCCCUCGGGUUGUAAACUGCUUUUGUACAGAACGAAGAGGUUUCUACUAAUACUAGGAGCUCAUGACGGUACUGUAAGAAUAAGCACCGGCUAACUACGUGCCAGCCGCCGCAGUAA
RNAcentral lists this ribosomal RNA (500 nucleotides) under uncultured bacterium. RNAcentral describes it as "partial 16S ribosomal RNA". It matches the Rfam family "Bacterial small subunit ribosomal RNA", at positions 30 to 523 of the family's 1533-position model. The record is from RNAcentral.